Long non-coding RNA from Diprion similis, 487 nucleotides. RefSeq lists it as uncharacterized. The transcript has 2 exons. Lineage: Eukaryota; Metazoa; Arthropoda; Insecta; Hymenoptera; Diprionidae. The record is from RefSeq and is a predicted model, not a curated record.
GCAAUUGAAUGUUCGCGAAGGUAUGGGAUUAGAUUUAUCUAGCUUCCACUAAAAAUGAAAUGUAUCUAUUCAUAUUAUCGCUAUCUAAGUACAAACUCCUCAUUUAAGUGUCCGUUCGAAAUUUGACCUUGUCAAAUACUCAAUACGGAUCCUUCAACAAUCUGAAUAUUUUUGUUAUUCAUAUUCGAUACCUAAUAUUCGCUACGAACUCUGAUUCGACGCUCGAUUUUUGAUGAGUCAAUGACGACGUAUGUAAUAUGUACAAUUUGUGUGGAAAGAUAAAUUUUGAAAUACAUUUAUUCAUUACAAACAAAUCGUUUACAUUUUAUCCAUGAGAUAAACUGAUACUGGGACCAAUCAACAUUAGACCGAUUAACUGCAUUGUCAACUGCUUCAGUAUAGGUAUAAGAAAUGUAAAACUGUGCUUCGGCUCCAAUGUUGUUUAGAUAAUGAACGAUACAUAAAAUACCUACUGCAAUUAUUUGUG